UGGGGAAUAUUGGACAAUGGGCGAAAGCCUGAUCCAGCCAUGCCGCGUGUGUGAAGAAGGUCUUCGGAUUGUAAAGCACUUUAAGUUGGGAGGAAGGGCAUUAACCUAAUACGUUAGUGUUUUGACGUUACCGACAGAAUAAGCACCGGCUAACUCUGUGCCAGCAGCCGCGGUAAUACAGAGGGGGCAAGCGUUAAUCGGAAUUACGGGGCGUAAAGCGCGCGUAGGUGGUUUGUUAAGUUGGAUGUGAAAUCCCCGGGCUCAACCUGGGAACUGCAUUCAAAACUGACUGACUAGAGUAUGGUAGAGGGUGGUGGAAUUUCCUGUGUAGCGGUGAAAUGCGUAGAUAUAGGAAGGAACACCAGUGGCGAAGGCGACCACCUGGACUAAUACUGACACUGAGGUGCGAAAGCGUGGGGAGCAAACA
This 427-nucleotide ribosomal RNA is filed under the name uncultured bacterium. Its description in RNAcentral is "partial 16S ribosomal RNA". It matches the Rfam family "Bacterial small subunit ribosomal RNA", at positions 355 to 774 of the family's 1533-position model. The record is from RNAcentral.